This 460-nucleotide ribosomal RNA is filed under the name uncultured bacterium. RNAcentral describes it as "partial 16S ribosomal RNA". It matches the Rfam family "Bacterial small subunit ribosomal RNA", at positions 338 to 795 of the family's 1533-position model. The record is from RNAcentral.
CCUACGGGAGGCAGCAGUGAGGAAUAUUGGUCAAUGGACGAGAGUCUGAACCAGCCAAGUAGCGUGAAGGAUGACUGCCCUAUGGGUUGUAAACUUCUUUUAUAUGGGAAUAAAAUGUUCCACGUGUGGGAUUUUGUAUGUACCAUAUGAAUAAGGAUCGGCUAACUCCGUGCCAGCAGCCGCGGUAAUACGGAGGAUCCGAGCGUUAUCCGGAUUUAUUGGGUUUAAAGGGAGCGUAGGUGGAUUGUUAAGUCAGUUGUGAAAGUUUGCGGAUCAACCGGAAAAUGGCACUUGAUACUGGCAGGCUGGAGUUCAGUAGAGGUGGAGGGAAUUCGUGGUGUAGCGGUGAAAUGCUUAGAUAUCAGGAGGAACUUCGAUGGCGAAGGCAGUUCACUGGGCCGCAAUUGACGCUGAGGAACGAAAGUGAGGGUAGCAAACGGGAUUAGAUACCCGUGUAGUC